This 950-nucleotide small RNA is filed under the name Aspergillus quadrilineatus. RNAcentral describes it as "eukaryotic LSU rRNA". The stretch from base 491 to 950 matches the Rfam family "Eukaryotic large subunit ribosomal RNA", at positions 1 to 457 of the family's 3401-position model. The record is from RNAcentral. Lineage: Eukaryota; Fungi; Ascomycota; Eurotiomycetes; Eurotiales; Aspergillaceae.
CCUAACACUGUUGCUUCGGCGGGGAGCCCCCUAGGGGCGAGCCGCCGGGGACCACUGAACUUCAUGCCUGAGAGUGAUGCAGUCUGAGCCUGAAUACAAAUCAGUCAAAACUUUCAACAAUGGAUCUCUUGGUUCCGGCAUCGAUGAAGAACGCAGCGAACUGCGAUAAGUAAUGUGAAUUGCAGAAUUCAGUGAAUCAUCGAGUCUUUGAACGCACAUUGCGCCCCCUGGCAUUCCGGGGGGCAUGCCUGUCCGAGCGUCAUUGCUGCCCUCAAGCCCGGCUUGUGUGUUGGGUCGUCGUCCCCCCCGGGGGACGGGCCCGAAAGGCAGCGGCGGCACCGUGUCCGGUCCUCGAGCGUAUGGGGCUUUGUCACCCGCUCGAUUAGGGCCGGCCGGGCGCCAGCCGGCGUCUCCAACCUUAUUUUUCUCAGGUUGACCUCGGAUCAGGUAGGGAUACCCGCUGAACUUAAGCAUAUCAAAAGCCCGGAGGAAACAUUACCUCAGGUAGGGAUACCCGCUGAACUUAAGCAUAUCAAUAAGCGGAGGAAAAGAAACCAACCGGGAUUGCCUCAGUAACGGCGAGUGAAGCGGCAAGAGCUCAAAUUUGAAAGCUGGCCCCUUCGGGGUCCGCGUUGUAAUUUGCAGAGGAUGCUUCGGGUGCGGCCCCUGUCUAAGUGCCCUGGAACGGGCCGUCAGAGAGGGUGAGAAUCCCGUCUUGGGCAGGGUGCCCGUGCCCGUGUGAAGCUCCUUCGACGAGUCGAGUUGUUUGGGAAUGCAGCUCUAAAUGGGUGGUAAAUUUCAUCUAAAGCUAAAUACCGGCCGGAGACCGAUAGCGCACAAGUAGAGUGAUCGAAAGAUGAAAAGCACUUUGAAAAGAGAGUUAAACAGCACGUGAAAUUGUUGAAAGGGAAGCGCUUGCGACCAGACUCGGCCCCGGGGUUCAGCCAGCA